GAUAGAUAGUGUUUAUUGUAGUGGAAAGAGGAGAUCAUGAAAGCAUUUCUUAGGUGAGCGGCUUCAAAUAGGUCAACAAUCCUUUCAGCCACAAAAGAGUUAAAUGACAAAGGGACAGAUGAAUUUAUAAUUGACACAAGGCAAAGGUACACAGGGGAAGGAAGAGAUUCUCAGGGAACUGGAAGCAUCAGAACUCUUGCAGGCCUUAAGGAUAUUCAGAGUGCCAUCAAAGAGCGAUAGAAAGGAAACAGAAAGGAUGUGCUAAAGAGAGAUAGAAGGAAAGCUCAAAGAAGCAUUGAUCAGGGAUGUGUAGGCGAGAGUGUCAGAGAUGCUGAGCAACCUUUUGAUCCAAUCCAUUCUGGUUUGUCUGGAUGGUGAAGGCUCGGCAUUCCUGACACCAUACAAUCAUAGAAUUCUAGAGUUGGAAGGGACCACAAGGGCCAUCAAGUCCAACCCUCUGCAAUGCAGGAAUCUCAACUACAGCAUCCAUGACAAAUGGCCAUUAGACGUUGAUCCAUGGUGUGCAUUUCAGGUACCAUUCCCCACACCCCGUUCCUGUGGGGGAUCACAAUCCCAUUCGAAAGAGAGACAAGCUCAUCUUCGUCUCAGUAUAGGAACUGUCGCUGGAUGA
RNAcentral lists this long non-coding RNA (631 nucleotides) under Podarcis muralis (Common wall lizard). Its description in RNAcentral is "lncRNA (ENSPMRG00000018114.1)". The record is from RNAcentral. Lineage: Eukaryota; Metazoa; Chordata; Lepidosauria; Squamata; Lacertidae.